Molecule: non-coding RNA, 1413 nt
Organism: Pimephales promelas (fathead minnow)
Lineage: Eukaryota; Metazoa; Chordata; Actinopteri; Cypriniformes; Leuciscidae
Source: RefSeq, a predicted model, not a curated record
CAGUAUAAUCUGCUGCUGAGAGCUUCAAGUGUUUUCUCCAUGCCACAAUGACCCCCCUGAUCACUGGCAUGAAGGUUAACAAAAACAGAAUUUGCCUCCUCUGGUGACGUCACCACUUUUGCCAAAUGUUUGCCUCGCUUGCGCCUGUGGCAUAUAUAGUGAAGCAGGCCAUCUAAUGUGGAUAACACAAAGGCUCAGGAGGAUAUGGUCCAUGAAGAAGAACAUUUUUUAGCUCCCUCACCUUUACAGGGUCCAUCUAAAGCACUGGUUCAAUCGUGGUCCUGAGGAGCCACAGCUCUGCAUAGUUUCUGUGUCUCCCUCAUCUAACACACCCGAUUCACAUCAUCAUCUCGUUAGUAAAGAUAAGUUACUGAAUUGGGUGUUUCAGAUAAAGGAGACAUAUAAAAUAUGCACAGCUGUGGGUCCCCAGGGCCACAAUUGAGAACCACUGAUCUGUAUUACCCCUUUAUUAAGCAAUGGCCAUAUUUUCCAUUUAUAUGUUAUAGUACACUGUAAAUCUACAUGCCUGUCCUUCAAUCAACUCACUAUCAGCACUGCAUAUGUCCUCUCAUUAAAUCACAACUCUUCACAUUUAUCAAGUAUAUGUUGAUAAUAUGGAGCAUCUGCAGGUGGUAAUUAGCUAUUAUGUGCAUAGUCAAACUGCCAACUUAAUGAUUGUAACAAGAAUGCAUCUCCUUAAUGAUUAGUAUCUUGGCAAGUAUUAGACAGCUGAUUUGAAGACAAGAAACUAGUAAAGGUUUGCAAGGCCUAUUUGAACAAACUAACACUUUUUGUAGGAUUAUAACAUGUCAUUAAAGUGUAGUAAGGCAGUCAGAUUUAAUGACAGCCUGACAGAGGAUUUAAUGAAAUGUUGAAACUCAGGGAUGUGGUUGACAUGAAAGUGUGUAACAUAGGCUUUAGUUAGUUUGCAUUGAAUAUAGAUGGCACUACAAAGAACCGACAUUUACCUUGCAGUAAUAACAAUAGUAAUAAUAAUAGGUUGCGGUACUUUUCACUACAGUAUACUUUAUAUUUUUACAGUAUAUUUUUUUAUGUUUGAGAAUAUUAUAUUUGUAUUGGUCCUCAAUGUCUUUGUCAGUGUCUCACAUCAUGUCUCAUUACAGAUUUACAUGCUGAGAACAUCAUAGUUUUGAAUACAAGCACAACCCAAAUUGCCAAUUCCCACUACAAUCAUUGAAGGUCAUGAUAAUGUUGUUUUCCUUAAUAUGUGUCGGCAGCAUUUUGAUUGUGCAUAUGAAAUAUAUUUGGGGACAUAAAUUACAUAUUUUAGGUAUAACAUUUGGCAGAACUUAACACAGGCACAUUGCCUUGAAAGUGCUAAAUGUCUUCCCAGAUUUAUAGCACCUGUGAGCAAUGAUUUCACUGGGAAUUUGUUAGCCAGUGCUUGUGUUA